This 1249-nucleotide long non-coding RNA is filed under the name Mytilus galloprovincialis (Mediterranean mussel). Lineage: Eukaryota; Metazoa; Mollusca; Bivalvia; Mytilida; Mytilidae. The record is from RNAcentral.
AAAAGUACAUAGCGAGCAGUUGUCGUUACAUACAAACGGUCACCUAAAUUGUCCCAGUCAAUGGAUGAAUUUAAUGUGUCAAUCAAUGGCCACAGCCACACUGUUUUUAAUUUCAUUCUACAACCCAGUAACAUAAGAUAUAGAUAUGAAACAAUGAGGAGACAACUCUGCUUUAGUCUUCCUAAGUAAAACAGAUAAGGUGAACAAUCAAACCAUUCAAAAACAAGAUAUCUCAGCCAGUCAAUUCAUGUCAAAAUUUCAUUUUAAUCCCCUUUUUCUUGUGUACUUGUAUUAUAUAUGAAUUUUGGCUAGAACUGACAAGACAUGUUCAAUACAAAACUGUAAAUAAAACAGCUUUUAAACUGUCACAUUCAAUAACAUAGUCUCUUAGAAUAACCAAAGUUACUUGAAUGAAGUUUCAAAUCAAAUAUUUUCUCUUGAUUAUUAGAUUUGUUUUCACGUUUAAAUUCCUACAAAAAGUUAAAUAAAAUAUUUUGUAAUUGUAAAAAAAGUGACCCCUUCACUGGUCACAAUGAAUCAAGGAAGUUAUUUAAGAAAUCAUAUCAAAAUCAACAAAAAAGAUUUGCCAUAUUGAAAUGUCUCCUCAGCGUUACUGAUUGUGAUUGAAUGGUAUUUGGAACUUUGUGAUUGAGGGGUUUAUACAGGUAUUACAAAAACAUUGAUGAACCAUGAAAAUGAGGAAAAGGUCAAGUAAACCAUUAAAAUCUUCAAAGUUAUCUACAAAUCAACACCACAAGAUUGGCAUCACUAUUUCUAAAAUUCUGCUACAUGUUUACAGGUUUUAAUUAUUGAAUUCUGCUUCUUAAAUACAGUGACUUUAUUUAUGUUUUAAAUAUCUACUGUAUAAGUUAAUCAUCCAGUCUAACUGCAUAAUCUUGAAAUUAUAUUUUUACAAAUACAUGUACCUAAAACAUUUUAAUAUAUAUUUUUUUCUUAGAAAAAAAUCAUAAUCCUAUCAGAAUGAAAACAAAAUAAAUUUUCAUUUGAAAUAUCUGAUAUACUAUACAAGUAUUUCUAUCAACUCUUUUUAAUUUCUAACUACACAAGAAAUAGACAUGUUAUGCAACAACUUGUAAGAUACUGUGUUUGUGUAUACUGUUUAGUCUAUAAUGCAAUCUUUGAACGUUGUACGUUCUCCCUGAGUAACUCUCCUAUUGGAGAGGUGAGAAUGGUGUUGGUAUCAGGAUUCUAGACUGCAUAUGUCUUAUCAAUGGCACUGAAAAACAGA